ACCAGACUUGUUGCAAGGUUGUUCCAACAAGUCCAAUACAGUGAUGAUAUCACGUGACAGCAGUCCGCUGUGCGCAACCAAUAUAACAAUAUUGUUACGUCAACCUUGUGUCGUCAACCUUGUAACAUUCUUGUUAUAUCAUGACUGUAUCAGACUUGUUAGAACAACCUUGUAACAAGUCGGAU
Non-coding RNA from Paramuricea clavata, 185 nucleotides. The record is from the annotation of a GenBank genome assembly. NCBI's taxonomy places the organism in Eukaryota, Metazoa, Cnidaria, Anthozoa, Malacalcyonacea, Plexauridae.